GAUAAACGCUAGCGGCAGGCUUAACACAUGCAAGUCGAGGGGCAGCAUAGAUUGUAGCAAUACAAUUGGUGGCGACCGGCGCACGGGUGCGGAACGCGUAUGCAACUUACCCGUCACAGGGGGAUAAUCCGGAGAAAUCUGGUCUAAUACCCCAUAACACAUGGAUCGGCAUCGGUUCAUGUUGAAAUUUUCGGAGGUGCCGGAUGGUCAUGCGUAGCAUUAGCUUGUUGGUGAGGUAACGGCUCACCAAGGCGACGAUGCUUAGGGGGACUGAGAGGUUUUCCCCCCACACUGGUACUGAGACACGGACCAGACUCCUACGGGAGGCAGCCGUGAGGAAUAUUGGUCAAUGGGCGCAAGCCUGAACCAGCCAUGCCGCGUGCAGGAUGAUGGCUCUAUGAGUUGUAAACUGCUUUUGUACGAGGGUAAAGUGGGUUACGUGUAACCUUUUGAAAGUAUCGUACGAAUAAGGAUCGGCUAACUCCGUGCCAGCCGCCGCCGUAA
This 504-nucleotide ribosomal RNA is filed under the name uncultured bacterium. RNAcentral's name for it is "partial 16S ribosomal RNA". It matches the Rfam family "Bacterial small subunit ribosomal RNA", at positions 28 to 523 of the family's 1533-position model. The record is from RNAcentral.